This is a non-coding RNA of Caenorhabditis elegans, 21 nucleotides long. Lineage: Eukaryota; Metazoa; Nematoda; Chromadorea; Rhabditida; Rhabditidae. The record is from Ensembl.
UGAUUCAUCGCCAUUAAAAAU